Long non-coding RNA from Homo sapiens (human), 2064 nucleotides. The record is from Ensembl. NCBI's taxonomy places the organism in Eukaryota, Metazoa, Chordata, Mammalia, Primates, Hominidae.
AGGAUUAAUUGAUUGCUAUAAAAAGUUAGAUGAAAUAAAAUGUUCUCCUUGCUCUUCAAACUAAGAUAAGCUAAUAACUUUGGACACAAUUUCACUCCUCUGCAUUCACCAAAUGUCCAAUUACAUAUCCUCCCUGCCUGGACCUUCAGAACAAUAUAAAACUGAAUGAAGGCUAUGAAAGAAGUCACAGGAGGAUUUUUGCAGAGCUUCCAUCCAGUUCAGAAACAAAGCAAUUCAAUACAUGUCUUCAAGAUUUCUAAAGGCAAUGACUUAGUCAUGAAAUCUGAUGUAAUUACAAGCAAAAAAUACAUCUGGUAUUUACUAGGUUAGAAAGCAUGAAAAUGUGUGUAACAAGAUUAGAAAAAGGUUACUUCUCCAAGAAAGGAAAAAACAAAAGAAAGAAAUGCUGUGGGAUUGUAUUGGACUCCUGACAAUGGCACCAACUUCACAAUGUGAUAUUAAUAGAUUUUGAAGGAUGGGGUGAGAGUGCCGAAGAUAUGACAGUAUCCUUCUGGUGUUUUCUUUGGAGAUGAAAGAGAUAAGGCAAUUUUUUAAAUGUAUAUCCUAGAUGCUUAUUUAGCUCAUGACCCUUUCAAAACAUUUGCAAUCACACAUUUUGAUGAUUUUUCUGAUGUGACUAAAUCUUAUGAGUUAUUUUUAUUAAGAUCUUGCAAGGUUGCCAGACAACUAAUUGUGGUGGAAAACAGCCAAGGAGCAGGGUCAAAGUGGUGCACAAUGUGGACUGUUUCUCCAGCCUAUUAGUUAUCUGCAUUCCUAAUCAUUCCAGAAACCUCUUUUAAAUCUGAACAAAUAUUUGUCUGCAUACUCUUCUCUUUUUUUUCAAUUUUUGUGUCUGUGUCAUGUGUGCAUUUAUAACUUACUUAUCUCACUAGAUUGCCAUCUCCUCCCAGGCAUAGUCUGUGUCUUGUCUUAUCUUGAAGAGUACUGGUAGGAUCUAAUAUAAGUUUAGGCACACAGGUCUUCCUCUAACAUGGAUCCUUUUGGUUGCAGGAAAAGGAGUUUGGGUUGUAGAUAGGACUAACCUCCUCACUAGAUGUACACAUUUUACAAUUAUCUUUACAAAAUUUGCUCCUUAUCUUCUCAUGAUGACCUCAAAGAAGAAAAGAAACUUAGCUUAUUCCUUCACAUGGAUUCGUGCAUCAAACACUAUUGAGUGCAUAUUGCAUGCCAGGUUCUGUGUUAGCAACUGGAAUGACCAAAUAAAUGUGACAAGAAUUCUGUCUUAGAGGAACAGUUGAAUAAGAAUAAGGAUUUCAGAGAAAGAGAAGCUCAGAGAAGGAGAAUUCCAGCUGAAUAAAGUCAUGGGAAGGGACACCCCAGCUGCUGGGCUUUAAGAUUAAUAUGUAUUUGUGCCUCAUUUGUUUUUUCUAUCCUGGCUGUCUUUUAUUUUUUUAUUAAUUAAUUUCUUUUGUAAUUUGCAAACAUUGUAUAUAUUUGUAAUGUACAGCAUAAUGUUUUGAUACAUCUGGUGGUUGUGAUUCAGAGUGGGCUCUGGUUAGCACACAAAUUACAUCAUUAGUUCCAUAUUAGUCUAUUUUAGAUAGAUAGAAAUAAAUCAAAGGGAAGAAGAUGACUUGGAAUUUGUGUGAAGCAAAUGAGACACAUACAUAUAGAGAAGGUCAAGACAUGGGAUGACUAAUCUCACCAGAUAGGAAUCUCUCUUUGUGAAUAAAUACACUAAUAUAUGUAGAAACACACACAUUAUAGUAUCGUUUAAAAGAGGAAAAUAUGGAAAACCACAUAAGUAUCAGAUAUAUUAGAAACCACAGAAAUAUCUUCUUAUCAUUUCUUCAUUUCUUAGGGCUAUUUUGGGGGGGAUACUUUUUUCUCAGCUUCUAUUCAUUUUUAAGAGCUAUUUUUUGUAUUAAUACAUCAUAUAUGUUGUAAAUAGUUUCAGAGUUUAUGUUUGCAUUUAAUUAUUUCCUUUGCUGUUAUAUGUGAUAUCCUAAUUUUUAAUUAGUUGUACUUAUGAGUCUCGUACUUUUGGUUUCUGCUUUUGGUAUCAUGCUUAGAAAGACUUUCUCCACCACGAUGCCAUAUAAA